RNAcentral lists this ribosomal RNA (534 nucleotides) under Stenotrophomonas sp. APH15. Its description in RNAcentral is "bacterial SSU rRNA". It matches the Rfam family "Bacterial small subunit ribosomal RNA", at positions 338 to 863 of the family's 1533-position model. Lineage: Bacteria; Pseudomonadati; Pseudomonadota; Gammaproteobacteria; Lysobacterales; Lysobacteraceae. The record is from RNAcentral. RNAcentral also lists the same sequence under 1 other name.
CCUACGGGAGGCAGCAGUGGGGAAUAUUGGACAAUGGGCGCAAGCCUGAUCCAGCCAUACCGCGUGGGUGAAGAAGGCCUUCGGGUUGUAAAGCCCUUUUGUUGGGAAAGAAAAGCAGCGGGCUAAUACCUUGCUGUUCUGACGGUACCCAAAGAAUAAGCACCGGCUAACUUCGUGCCAGCAGCCGCGGUAAUACGAAGGGUGCAAGCGUUACUCGGAAUUACUGGGCGUAAAGCGUGCGUAGGUGGUUGUUUAAGUCUGUUGUGAAAGCCCUGGGCUCAACCUGGGAACUGCAGUGGAAACUGGAUGACUAGAGUGUGGUAGAGGGUAGCGGAAUUCCCGGUGUAGCAGUGAAAUGCGUAGAGAUCGGGAGGAACAUCCAUGGCGAAGGCAGCUACCUGGACCAACACUGACACUGAGGCACGAAAGCGUGGGGAGCAAACAGGAUUAGAUACCCUGGUAGUCCACGCCCUAAACGAUGCGAACUGGAUGUUGGGUGCACUUUGGCACGCAGUAUCGAAGCUAACGCGUUAA